GAUGAACGCUGGCGGCGUGCCUAAUACAUGCAAGUCGAGCGAACAGAUGAGAAGCUUGCUUCUCUGAUGUUAGCGGCGGACGGGUGAGUAACACGUGGGUAACCUACCUAUAAGACUGGGAUAACUCCGGGAAACCGGGGCUAAUACCGGAUAAUAUUUUGAACCGCAUGGUUCAAUAGUGAAAGACGGUUUCGGCUGUCACUUAUAGAUGGACCCGCGCCGUAUUAGCUAGUUGGUAAGGUAACGGCUUACCAAGGCGACGAUACGUAGCCGACCUGAGAGGGUGAUCGGCCACACUGGAACUGAGACACGGUCCAGACUCCUACGGGAGGCAGCAGUAGGGAAUCUUCCGCAAUGGGCGAAAGCCUGACGGAGCAACGCCGCGUGAGUGAUGAAGGUCUUCGGAUCGUAAAACUCUGUUGUUAGGGAAGAACAAGUACCAUAGUAACUGAUGGUACCUUGACGGUACCUAACCAGAAAGCCACGGCUAACUACGUGCCAGCCGCCGCGGUAA
This 514-nucleotide ribosomal RNA is filed under the name uncultured bacterium. RNAcentral's name for it is "partial 16S ribosomal RNA". It matches the Rfam family "Bacterial small subunit ribosomal RNA", at positions 28 to 523 of the family's 1533-position model. The record is from RNAcentral.